This 582-nucleotide ribosomal RNA is filed under the name uncultured Actinomycetes bacterium. RNAcentral's name for it is "bacterial SSU rRNA". It matches the Rfam family "Bacterial small subunit ribosomal RNA", at positions 8 to 596 of the family's 1533-position model. Lineage: Bacteria; Bacillati; Actinomycetota; Actinomycetes. The record is from RNAcentral.
AGAGUUUGAUCCUGGCUCAGGACGAACGCUGGCGGCGUGCCUAACACAUGCAAGUCGAACGGGGAGUUAGCAAUAACUCCUAGUGGCGAACGGGUGAGUAACGCGUAGACAACCUACCUUCUAGAUGGGGACAACACUGCGAAAGUGGUGCUAAUACCGAAUGUUGUAUCCGGGUUGCAUAAUCUGGAUACUAAAGGUGGCCUCUAUUUAUAAGCUACCGCUAGAAGAUGGGUCUGCGUCUGAUUAGCUAGUUGGUGGGGUAACGGCCCACCAAGGCGACGAUCAGUAGCCGGUCUGAGAGGAUGAACGGCCACACUGGGACUGAGACACGGCCCAGACUCCUACGGGAGGCAGCAGUGGGGAAUCUUGCGCAAUGGGCGAAAGCCUGACGCAGCAACGCCGCGUGCGGGAAGAAGGCCUUAGGGUUGUAAACCGCUUUCAGUAGGAACGAAAAUGACGGUACCUGCAGAAGAAGGUGCGGCCAACUACGUGCCAGCAGCCGCGGUGACACGUAGGCACCAAGCGUUGUCCGGAUUUAUUGGGCGUAAAGAGCUCGUAGGCGGUUCAGUAAAGUCGGGUGUG